GAUAAACAUGAAAACCAUAUAAAUAUGCUAAUACACUUACUACUCAUAUUGGCAGGAUGAAUGAACACACAAUACGCAUUAGAAUAGGGACUAAACAUUCUUUCACCUAUUGGUAGACAGAGUUCUGAAGUUUGCAAAGAUGAGGUUGUGGUUAGCUGUACAAGAACUGUGGGCUGUGACCAAGAGAUAGAAUAAGAAUGGGAUCCAAUUCAUGGCUCUGGCCUUUCUCACAUAAGACUCAGGCCAACCUCACUAAGACCCAAAAAGAGUUCAGGCAACAACAGCCAUCUCAGUGAGAUCCCAAUUUAGGAAAUUGAAGUUGGCCAAAUUAAAUUUUGCCAAAUAUAAACCAUUGGCCAUAAUGUUGUUCCAUCCCAGGCUCAAAACUUAAUGAGGUUGAAAUCUAUUAUACUGUUGCCAUGUUAUAAAAUAGUCAGGUGCUGGCAAAUCUAUGGCAAUGUUCUUUCUGGCCAGCCUGAAAGGAAAUGUGACUCAUCUUGUCUCUUUUUUUUUUCAUGGAGUGAUUUAUAUAAUGUCUUUUAUGUUGCUUGAAUGACAAUAUCAAAACACCAUUUUAAUAAUCCUAACACUGUUAUUAAUGUUAAAAUUUUAUUAAACAGAACUUUUCCUUCAUUAAGCUAAUCAUUGGAAGAUUUUUGGCUAUUAUUUUGAUGAUGAAUGAAUAAAAUAAAAUAAACAAAGAAAUGAUUAAUAAACAUUCUCACACACACACACAGAUAUACAAUCACUUAUUCUUACAUUUUUAAAGUAGCUGUUAUGCUCUGUAGCUCAAUAUGUACGGGUCAAAAGAUUAAAAACUUUACUUAUAAAUUUAUUUAUAUCUUGCCUAAUUAAGAAAAUUUGAGCUAGUUAAAAAUUUAGCAGAUUUCAAAAGAUGAAGUAUCUCUGGGUUAAAGCUUUUUUAACUGUUUACCUAAGCAAAAAGAAAGAAACAAGACCCGAUUUUUGUGUAAAAAUAAUACAAUGUAAAUUAAAAGUCAAAGGGAUUUAAAAUCUGUUGCAAGGUUACCCAACAUCAAUUCCCUGUAGAAGAAAUUCAAUAGAAGGAAAGCCAAAAGAAAAAUGAGAAAAAAAAGAUUGUAUGGUUAGCUUAGAAAAGCCCUGGCUAGCAUUACUCCUUGCUGAUUUGUGAAGAUAUAGUAAUUUUAUACUUUUUAAAAAGAUUACAACUUGAUUUUUAGGUAAUCCUUAAAACCAAAAUAUGUUUCCUACAGUAUUAAAAUCAAAUCAAAUUUUUUUAUGAUUAAAUUAAGUCUGACAUGAAGACAAUUAACAGAAGUAUAUUUAUAACAGCAUCCCAUUUUUAGAGAUGCCAUUGUUUAAAGAGACAUGCAAUCUGUUUUCAAAUCAUGCUAAUGCUUUUUUGGCCGUAGAACUCUUAAUAUUGACAUAUUACAUUCAUUUGUUCAUACUCACUUUAAUUUUUUCAGCAUACACAUUUUUAAGGUAUUCUUUUUCCUGAAAUUCUUUGAAAUUUUUUCUCCUUUACCCAUAACAAAAUGUUUUUAAGAGCCUGAGAUUAGUAUGACAGAAUAGAAAUUACAAAACUGUAUCAAAUGCAUGUCUUUACUCUCUUUUGAAAAAGCUCAUAUUUCUUUCAGAGGUGCUAGGUAUGAUGCAGGAGAUUCAUGGGUGAUGGCAUAAGAGAAAACCUGGAAUAAACUAAUUAUUGCCCUGACUUUAUAAAGAUGCUCACAUAAGCAAACCAAUCUAGUAUUUCAAAUUUAGGAGUUUAAAAGCACCAGAACAGAAGAAUAUUUCUCCACAGAUGACUAGUGAAGAAAUAAUUGUAAGAACAAAAACAAUGAGUAUGAUAUGUAUCAAUAGAGAAAUUGUUAAAUAUUUUAAGGCACAUCUUUGGUUGCUGGAUGUAGCGAGUCAGAAGAGACAGCCACGCUUCAAGCAGUCCAGUCAACGUUUUCAGUGGAACCAUAGCCCCAAAUGGCUGAUGCGUAAAACGACAUCACCCACAUCCACUGGUAGCUCUCCAAGGUGCUGAAAUAUAAGUGCUUCUGAUCGUUUCU
This 2045-nucleotide long non-coding RNA is filed under the name Equus asinus (donkey). RNAcentral's name for it is "lncRNA (ENSEASG00005025231.1)". Lineage: Eukaryota; Metazoa; Chordata; Mammalia; Perissodactyla; Equidae. The record is from RNAcentral.